AACGCUUUUUAACUAAGUCCCGAGAGGCUUAUAAGGGUGUUGGCGGCAAACCUGCUAUACGGGGAUCAGUGUAUCCGUAUAUCUGGCUGCCUCAACUUUGCAGCACCCUGACCAAAUCGGCAGGGUGCUUUUUUU
Bacillus sp. 2_A_57_CT2 is the source of this 135-nucleotide non-coding RNA. Lineage: Bacteria; Bacillati; Bacillota; Bacilli; Caryophanales; Bacillaceae. The record is from Rfam.